ACUCCUACGGGAGGCAGCAGUUGGGAAUCUUAGACAAUGGACGAAAGUCUGACCUAGCGACGCCGCGUGAGGGAAGAAGGCCUUCGGGUUGUAAACCUCUGUCAUGGGGGAAGAAGUAAGUGACGGUACCCCAAGAGGAAGCCCCUGCUAACUACGUGCCAGCAGCCGCGGUAAU
RNAcentral lists this ribosomal RNA (175 nucleotides) under uncultured archaeon. Its description in RNAcentral is "partial 16S ribosomal RNA". It matches the Rfam family "Bacterial small subunit ribosomal RNA", at positions 335 to 524 of the family's 1533-position model. The record is from RNAcentral. RNAcentral also lists the same sequence under 1 other name.